RNAcentral lists this ribosomal RNA (431 nucleotides) under uncultured bacterium. Its description in RNAcentral is "partial 16S ribosomal RNA". It matches the Rfam family "Bacterial small subunit ribosomal RNA", at positions 29 to 505 of the family's 1533-position model. The record is from RNAcentral.
AACGAACGCUGGCGGCAUGCCUAACACAUGCAAGUCGAACGAGACCUUCGGGUCUAGUGGCGCACGGGUGCGUAACGCGUGGGAACCUGCCCUUAGGUUCGGAAUAACUCCCCGAAAGGGGUGCUAAUACCGGAUAAUGUCUUCGGACCAAAGAUUUAUCGCCUUUGGAUGGGCCCGCGUUGGAUUAGCUAGUUGGUAGGGUAAAAGCCUACCAAGGCGACGAUCCAUAGCUGGUCUGAGAGGAUGAUCAGCCACACUGGGACUGAGACACGGCCCAGACUCCUACGGGAGGCAGCAGUGGGGAAUAUUGGACAAUGGGCGAAAGCCUGAUCCAGCAAUGCCGCGUGAGGGAUGAAGGCCUGAGGGGUGUAAAGCUCUUUUACCCGGGAUGAUAAUGACAGUACCGGGAGAAUAAGCUCCGGCUAACUCCG